ACCAACUAGAUGUACCUCCAUACUUUUACGAAAAUACUUUUUUUUUUCUCACAAUUCUACCCCAAAUGUAUAUUCUCUAACAUUCUUCCAAUUAAUGCUCCACAGUAGUGUAAUCCUUUACAUGUGCUUGAUAUUCUCAACACGCUACAAAAUGGGUUCAUUUUGGAUAAGGAUGUGUCAAUUUGAGAUUCUCUCAUUCCCUCCCAAAACUGUGUGAUAAUCACUCCAUGAAGUCCCCCUGGGCAUAGUUGAGUAACCACCACAUGCCAUAGCUUUCUAGUGAAAUUCACUUGGGUAGGAACAAGUACCCAGUCAUCAUCCGAAGAAGGACUGAGACCGUUUGUGCUCUUGAUCAACUCAGAUACUCAGGAUAGAACCCACUAUAUUCCCAAUCUAGAAGGCCAGUAAUUCGGAAUUGGUGGUCGCCCCUUGGUUCUACAGUGAUAUUAUCUGGUCGUAGAUCACCAUGUGUAAAGACACAUCUAAUUUCUAAUUGCUGAGGCGGGACGUAGGGUUGUUGAAGCCGGCUGAUAAAUUCUGCGAAAAUAGAAGCGCGCAAAGAGGGGAACAGAAAAUCCUUGAAAUCUUUGACAAUCAUCAAAGCAAUAAAGAACGCGCUGGACUACACUGAAUAUACAACACUGC
Molecule: small RNA, 645 nt
Filed under: Histoplasma ohiense
Lineage: Eukaryota; Fungi; Ascomycota; Eurotiomycetes; Onygenales; Ajellomycetaceae
Description: hypothetical lncRNA
Source: RNAcentral